Molecule: RNA transcript, 816 nt
Organism: Rhincodon typus (whale shark)
Lineage: Eukaryota; Metazoa; Chordata; Chondrichthyes; Orectolobiformes; Rhincodontidae
Gene name: nucleophosmin-like
Exons: 4
Source: RefSeq, a predicted model, not a curated record
UUUCACCCUCUGAAGCGGUUCUCGCGCUGAGUUUGAAUACCGCGGCUGGGGCCAGGAGACGGUUGAAGAGUGUGGAAGCGGAGCGGGGAAGGAGGGACGCUCGGAAUUGCACAUUUACCCAGGGUAGAAGUGCACCUCUUAUAUCCUCCUGUGAAAGUGAUGAUGAAACAUGUGAAAUUCCUUUUGACAAUGCAGCUACUAUCUAUAGCAGAUCACUAACUGAAAUGCUGCAGAAAGGUUCGAGGCUGGUGCAUGAACAAACCACAAGGGAUUAUGGGACACCAAUUGGUGAGAUCAUCAAACUUAACUGCCUGCUUUCUCAGGCUGGGGUCCGGCAUCCAUCUGCGCUAAUGAAUGUGACAUGGGAUUAAUGAAGCCCAAUUCUCUACAAAGCACCUUUAUCAGGCAAUAUUCCAAGUGAAAGCCAUAAAAGAUGUUGAAGACUAUUUUGAGAAGACAAAGAGGGCUGUUGAUGAAAGAAUUCCUGCUGGUGGUUAUCACGAGAAGGCAAAGAGGAAUUUAGAUGGCAGUGAGGACUAUGAUGAGGAUGAGGAUGAGGAUGAGGAUGAUGAUGACGAAGACGAAGAUUCCGAUAUUGAUUAUGAGGAGACAAAAAUUAAAUCUAAGCAACGUGUGUACAGAACCAGAAAAGCAUUAGAUGAAGAAAGGGAGAAAAGGGAGUAUGAAUAUUAUUCUCGUGGAAAAUUUGCCAGGGAUAUUGAUGACUAUGUGCGUUAGUUACAGCAUUAGUGGUCAUUGAUUUGUCAGAUGUUAACAAUGUACGUGUCCAUACAGUGUCUACCUAAAAUAAGUAAU